This 440-nucleotide ribosomal RNA is filed under the name uncultured bacterium. RNAcentral's name for it is "partial 16S ribosomal RNA". It matches the Rfam family "Bacterial small subunit ribosomal RNA", at positions 338 to 795 of the family's 1533-position model. The record is from RNAcentral.
CCUACGGGGGGCAGCAGUGGGGAAUAUUGCACAAUGGGGGAAACCCUGAUGCAGCGACGCCGCGUGAAGGAAGAAGGAUCUCGGUAUUGAAACUUCUAUCAGCAGGGAAGUAAAUGGCGGUACCUGACUAAGAAGCCCCGGCUAACUACGUGCCAGCAGCCGCGGUAAUACGGAGGGGGCAAGCGUUAUCCGGAUUUACUGGGUGUAAAGGGAGCGUAGGCGGUGAUGCAAGUCAGAAGUGAAAGCCCGCAGCUCAACUGCGGGACUGCUUUUGAAACUGUAUGACUAGAUUGCAGGAGAGGUAAGUGGAAUUCCUAGUGUAGCGGUGAAAUGCGUAGAUAUUAGGAGGAACACCAGUGGCGAAGGCGGCUUACUGGACUGUAAAUGACGCUGAGGCUCGAAAGCGUGGGGAGCAAACAGGAUUAGAUACCCCAGUAGUC